AUGUCCCCUCUGCAGCAGCCCAAACCAGGGAGGGGACAGCAGCACCACAAAUGUCCCCUCUGCAGCAGCCCAGGGCAGGGAGGGGACAGCAGCACCACAAAUGUCCCCCCUGCAGCAGCCCAAACCAGGGAGGGGACAGCAGCACCUGAAAUGUCCCCUCUGCAGCAGCCCAGGGCAGGGAGGGGACAGCAGCACCACAAAUGUCCCCUCUGCAGCAGCCCAGACCUGAGGACAGGGAGGGGACAGCAGCACCACAAAUGUCCCCUCUGCAGCAGCCCAGACCUGAGGACAGGGAGGGGACAGCAGCACCACAAAUGUCCCCUCUGCAGCAGCCCAGACCUGAGGACAGGGAGGGGACAGCAGGGUGCUGCUCCAGCCACAGGAGCUCCCCUCACCAGCCAGGUGUUGGAACACUCACUGUCCCCAGGCUCUCCCAGCUGCCAGCUCACAAACUGCCCGCAGUGAUGAUCUUUAUUCCUCUAUCCAGAGGGAAAAACUGCUCUCUCCCUUUGGGGUUUCUCAGCCCAGGCCAGGCCCAGCUGUGAAUUCUGUGCAGCCCCAUCAGCCAGAGGCACACUGGUCCCAUUAACCCCCAGGACAGCGACUUCAAUGUGAGCCCCGAGAGAGAAGAGCCCUGCGAGCAGAGCCAGAGCAGCAGCAGCAGCCUCGUUUUCCAGUGGGUGGGAUGGCAGGGCCACGCUCCCCUCCCUCUGUUUUAUGGCUUUUUUCCUAUAAAACAGCCUUUCCUCUGGGGAGGGUGGCAAUUCUGGCUGGGAGGGCAGCAUUUGGGAGGUGCUGAGCAUUUGUGAUGUGUCCCUUCAGGACACAGUGCUCAGCCCCACUCAGGAGCCUGGUCCUCGCUGGAGUUCGGGCUCUGCAGGAGCAGCACGGCUCAUUAGGCUGGGGAAGCUUUCAGACCUUAAAGGAACUGCUUCUCCUGUAAGUGAGCUGCUAAAAGCGCUGAGUUGUUCUUCCACAGCAUUUCAAAUUCACUGCUUUCUCAUUAUCCUUGACCUUUUUGCAUUUUUUACUGGAAAGGGGAAAAAAAUUCACUUUGCAGUAAAUUACUGCAAAUCCCUCCCCAAAAAUGUUUAAAAACAGAGCCUGGCAAGCUGGGACAGGGGAGCAACAGCUCUCACUUGCCUCUGUUUUCUGUACAAAGAUGAUUUUAUGUCUGUUUUAUGGAUCCUAAACCCCUGUGACUCGUUUAGAAAGGACUUUUAGCAGGACAGGUGCACAAAUCCUCUGCAGUACUUUGUGUUCUGAGUGGCAGGGAGACAGAGUGUGUGAUGGGACAGGACACCCUCCUGUGUGCUGCUCCUGAAGCCUUGCACUCUGGGUCUUGGUCCCAUCUCUUGGUCCCUGUGUUUUUAUCCCUGUCAGGUCAUUCCCAUCUCUUGGUCCCUGUGUCUUGGUCCUCUUCACUCCCAUCUCUUGAUCCCCAUCUCUUGAUCCCCUCCAUCUC
RNAcentral lists this long non-coding RNA (1465 nucleotides) under Parus major (Great Tit). RNAcentral's name for it is "lncRNA (ENSPMJG00000013052.1)". The record is from RNAcentral. Lineage: Eukaryota; Metazoa; Chordata; Aves; Passeriformes; Paridae.